UACAGAGGUCCCAAGCGUUGUUCGGAUUCAUUGGGCGUAAAGGGUGCGUAGGCGGCGGAGUAAGUUGGGUGUGAAAUCCCGAGGCUCAACCUCGGAAUUGCAUUCAAUACUGCUUCGCCCGAGUACUGGAGAGGAGGCUGGAAUUUACGGUGUAGCAGUGAAAUGCGUAGAUAUCGUAAGGAAGGCCGGUGGCGAAAGCGAGCCUCUGGACAGUUACUGGCGCUGAUGCACGAAGGCCAGGGGAGCAAACGGG
Molecule: ribosomal RNA, 253 nt
Filed under: uncultured bacterium
Lineage: Bacteria
Description: partial 16S ribosomal RNA
Rfam family: Bacterial small subunit ribosomal RNA
Source: RNAcentral